AUCUACGGCCAUACCACCCUGAACGCGCCUGAUCUCUGCUGAUCUUGGAAGCUAAGCAGGGUCUGGCCUGGUUAGUACUUGGAUGGGAGAGAAAACAAAUCCCUGGAGAGG
RNAcentral lists this ribosomal RNA (111 nucleotides) under Chinchilla lanigera (long-tailed chinchilla). The record is from RNAcentral. Lineage: Eukaryota; Metazoa; Chordata; Mammalia; Rodentia; Chinchillidae.